CGAAAGCCUGACGGAGCAACGCCGCGUGUGGGAAGAAGGCUCUUGGGCUGUCAACCACUUUUCUCAGGGAAGAAGUUCUGACGGUACCUGAGGAAUCAGCCUCGGCUAACUCCGUGCCGGCAGCCGCGGUAAUACGGAGGAGGCAAGCGUUAUCCGGAAUUAUUGGGCGUAAAGCGUCCGCAGGUGGUCUGGCAAGUCUGCUGUCAAAGACCGGGGCUUAACUCCGGAAAGGCAGUGGAAACUGCGAGACUAGAGUGCGGUAGGGGUAGAGGGAAUUCCCGGUGUAGCGGUGAAAUGCGUAGAGAUUGGGAAGAACACCGGUGGCGAAAGCGCUCUACUGGGUCGCACCUGACCCUCAGGGACGAAAGCUAAGGUAGCG
This 379-nucleotide ribosomal RNA is filed under the name uncultured cyanobacterium. RNAcentral describes it as "bacterial SSU rRNA". It matches the Rfam family "Bacterial small subunit ribosomal RNA", at positions 376 to 770 of the family's 1533-position model. The record is from RNAcentral. Lineage: Bacteria; Bacillati; Cyanobacteriota.